GACGAACGCUGGCGGCGUGCUUAACACAUGCAAGUCGAACGGAAAGGCCCUGCUUUUGUGGGGUGCUCGAGUGGCGAACGGGUGAGUAACACGUGAGUAACCUGCCCUUGACUUUGGGAUAACUUCAGGAAACUGGGGCUAAUACCGGAUAGGAGCUCCUGCUGCAUGGUGGGGGUUGGAAAGUUUCGGCGGUUGGGGAUGGACUCGCGGCUUAUCAGCUUGUUGGUGGGGUAGUGGCUUACCAAGGCUUUGACGGGUAGCCGGCCUGAGAGGGUGACCGGCCACAUUAGGACUGAGCUACGGCCCAGACUCCUACGGGAGGCAACAGUGGGGAAUAUUGCACAAUAGGCGGAGGCCUGAUGCAGCAACGCCGCGUGCGGGAUGACGGCCUUCGGGUUGUAAACCACUUUCGCCUGAGACGAAGCGUGAGUGACGGUAAUGGGUAAAGAAGCACCGGCUAACUACGUG
Molecule: ribosomal RNA, 468 nt
Filed under: uncultured bacterium
Lineage: Bacteria
Description: partial 16S ribosomal RNA
Rfam family: Bacterial small subunit ribosomal RNA
Source: RNAcentral